Molecule: non-coding RNA, 119 nt
Organism: Picea glauca (white spruce)
Lineage: Eukaryota; Viridiplantae; Streptophyta; Pinopsida; Pinales; Pinaceae
Source: Rfam
GGAUGCGAUCAUACCAGCGUUAAUGCACCGGAUCCUAUCAGAACUCCGCGGUUAAGCGCGCUUGGGCUAGAGUAGUACUGGGAUGGGUGAACUCUUGGGAAGUCCUAGUGUUGCACCCU